This 467-nucleotide ribosomal RNA is filed under the name uncultured bacterium. RNAcentral describes it as "partial 16S ribosomal RNA". It matches the Rfam family "Bacterial small subunit ribosomal RNA", at positions 28 to 507 of the family's 1533-position model. The record is from RNAcentral.
GACGAACGCUGGCGGCGUGCUUAACACAUGCAAGUCGAACGGAAAGGCCCUGCUUUUGUGGGGUGCUCGAGUGGCGAACGGGUGAGUAACACGUGAGUAACCUGCCCUUGACUUUGGGAUAACUUCAGGAAACUGGGCCAAAUACGGGAAAGAGCCUCCUCUGGAAGGUGGGGGGUGGAAAAUUUCGGCGGUUGGGGAAUGACUCGCGGCUUAUCAGCUUGUUGGUGGGGGAGUGGCUUACCAAGGCUUUGACGGGUAGCCGGCCUGAGAGGGUGACCGGCCACAUUGGGACUGAGAUACGGCCCAGACUCCUACGGGAGGCAGCAGUGGGGAAUAUUGCACAAUGGGCGGAAGCCUGAUGCAGCAACGCCGCGUGCGGGAUGACGGCCUUCGGGUUGUAAACCGCUUUCGCCUGUGACGAAGCGUGAGUGACGGUAAUGGGUAAAGAAGCACCGGCUAACUACGUG